RNAcentral lists this long non-coding RNA (504 nucleotides) under Catagonus wagneri (Chacoan peccary). RNAcentral describes it as "lncRNA (ENSCWAG00000003476.1)". The record is from RNAcentral. Lineage: Eukaryota; Metazoa; Chordata; Mammalia; Artiodactyla; Tayassuidae.
CCGCGACCGCCACCCAGCGCUUCCGCGCUGCCCUCGCCCGGGCGGUCCAGGGGGACCGAGGGCCGAAUUCUGGGUCGCCCCGAAGAUACUCGGGCGCUUCUGAGCUCGCCAGGCCUGACACUUCGCUCGGCUCCGCCUCCACAAAGGCACUCAGGCGUCGCCACUAUUUUUUACACACCAUAAAUACUCGGAAAGUGUUCCUCCAGCCUUAGCGUUGUUUUUGCAAAAUCACCUGAAUUAAAUACCUGAAAAUACUUUUGAUGCUGUUGAACUUGGCCACGAUAAAAACAUGUUUCUGUUCACCUCUCUCUGAGCAAAGACAAUGGAAUAUGGAGAGACAAGAGUGGAAAUAUGAAAGAGUCUUCAGAGUUCAUGCAGAAAGUCAGCAAUGGCUAAGGCUAAGAUAACAGCAAGUGGAUGAAGAGACAUAUGUAUUUUGGAAAUGCAGCUGAUUGGAAUUACAGGUAAAUUUAAUAGGGAGGAGGCAUUGCUGAGAAGGUAAGA